This 468-nucleotide ribosomal RNA is filed under the name uncultured bacterium. RNAcentral describes it as "partial 16S ribosomal RNA". It matches the Rfam family "Bacterial small subunit ribosomal RNA", at positions 28 to 507 of the family's 1533-position model. The record is from RNAcentral.
GACGAACGCUGGCGGCGUGCUUAACACAUGCAAGUCGAACGGAAAGGCCCUGCUUUUGUGGGGUGCUCGAGUGGCGAACGGGUGAGUAACACGUGAGUAACCUGCCCUUGACUUUGGGAUAACUUCAGGAAACUGGGGCUAAUACCGGAUAGGAGCUCCUGCUGCAUGGGGGGGGUUGGAGAGUUUCGGCGGUUGGGGAUGGACUCGCGGCUUAUCAGCUUGUUGGUGGGGUAGUGGCUUAUCAAAGCAUUGACGGGUAGCCGGCCUGAGAGGGUGACCGGCCACCUUGGUACUACUAUACGGCCCAGACUCCUACGGGAGGCAGCAGUGGGGAAUAUUGUACAGCGGGCGGAAGCCGGAUGCAGCAGCGCCGCGUGCGGGAUGACGGCCUUCGGGUUGUAAACCGCUUUCGCCUGUGACGAAGCGGGAGUGACGGUAAUGGGUAAAUAAGCACCGGCUAACUACGUG